CCAGUAUUCUAAGGCGCUUGAGAGAACUCAGGAGAAGGAACUCGGCAAAUUGACACCGUAACUUCGGAAGAAGGUGUGCCUUUAGUAGGUGAAGUCCCUCGCGGAUGGAGCCCAAUGAGGUUGCAAUAAAUCGGUGGCUGCGACUGUUUAUUAAAAACACAGCACUCUGCAAACACGAAAGUGGACGUAUAGGGUGUGACGCCUGCCCGGUGCUGGAAGAUUAAAUGAUGGGGUGCAAGCUCUUGAUUGAAGUCCCAGUAAACGGCGGCCGUAACAAUAACGGUCCUAAGGUAGCGAAAUUCCUUGUCGGGUAAGUUCCGACCUGCACGAAUGGCGUAACGAUGGCCACACUGUCUCCUCCUGAGACUCAGCGAAGUUGAAAUGUUUGUGAUGAUGCAAUCUCCCCGCGGAAAGACGGAAAGACCCCAUGAACCUUUACUGUAGCUUUGUAUUGGACUUUGAACAGAUCUGUGUAGGAUAGGUGGGAGGCUUUGAAGCAGGGUCGCUAGAUCUUGUGGAGCCAACGUUGAAAUACCACCCUGGUGUGUUUGAGGUUCUAACCUAGGCCCGUAAUCCGGGUUGGGGACAGUGCAUGGUAGGCAGUUUGACUGGGGCGGUCUCCUCCCAAAGUGUAACGGAGGAGUUCGAAGGUACGCUAGUUACGGUCGGACAUCGUGACGAUAGUGCAAUGGCAUAAGCGUGCUUAACUGCGAGACUGACAAGUCGAGCAGAUGCGAAAGCAGGACAUAGUGAUCCGGUGGUUCUGUAUGGAAGGGCCAUCGCUCAACGGAUAAAAGGUACUCUGGGGAUAACAGGCUGAUACCGCCCAAGAGUUCAUAUCGACGGCGGUGUUUGGCACCUCGAUGUCGGCUCAUCUCAUCCCGGGGCUGUAGCCGGUCCCAAGGGUAUGGCUGUUCGCCAUUUAAAGAGGUACGUGAGCUGGGUUUAAAACGUCGUGAGACAGUUUGGUCCCUAUCUUCCGUGGGCGCUGCAGAUUUGAGGAAGCCUGCUCCUAGUACGAGAGGACCGGAGUGGACGCACCUCUGGUGUAUCGGUUGUCACGCCAGUGGCAUUGCCGAGUAGCUAUGUGCGGAAGAGAUAACCGCUGAAAGCAUCUAAGCGGGAAACUCGUUUCAAGAUGAGAUCUGCCGGGGCCUUGAGCCCCCUGAAGAGUCGUUCAAGACCAGGACGUUGAUAGGUCGGGUGUGGAAGCGCAGUAAUGCGUUAAGCUAACCGAUACUAAUUGCUCGUGCGGCUUGACCCC
RNAcentral lists this ribosomal RNA (1264 nucleotides) under metagenome. Its description in RNAcentral is "bacterial LSU rRNA". It matches the Rfam family "Bacterial large subunit ribosomal RNA", at positions 1673 to 2925 of the family's 2925-position model. The record is from RNAcentral.